CCUACGGGGGGCUGCAGUGGGGAAUAUUGCACAAUGGGGGAAACCCUGAUGCAGCAACGCCGCGUGAGCGAUGAAGGCCUUCGGGUCGUAAAGCUCUGUCCUAAGGGAAGAAUACUGACGGUACCGUAGGAGGAAGCCCCGGCUAACUAAGUGCCAGCAGCCGCGGUAAUACGUAGGGGGCUAGCGUUAUCCGGAAUUACUGGGCGUAAAGGGUACGUAGGCGGCCCUUCAAGGCAGAGGUGAUAUGCUACUGAUCAAGCGUAGUAAGCCUUUGAAAUUGUAGGGAUUAGGUGCAGAAGAGGAGAGUGGUAUUACGCGUGUAGAAGUGAAAUGCGUGGAUAUUGGGAGGAUCAGCAGGUGCGAUGGCGGCUGUCUGGAUUGAAACUGACACUGUGGCACGAAAGCGUGUGGAGCGAUCAGGGUUUGUUACCCUUGUAGUC
This 440-nucleotide ribosomal RNA is filed under the name uncultured bacterium. RNAcentral describes it as "bacterial SSU rRNA". It matches the Rfam family "Bacterial small subunit ribosomal RNA", at positions 338 to 795 of the family's 1533-position model. The record is from RNAcentral.